Molecule: non-coding RNA, 314 nt
Organism: Oryctolagus cuniculus (rabbit)
Lineage: Eukaryota; Metazoa; Chordata; Mammalia; Lagomorpha; Leporidae
Source: RefSeq, a predicted model, not a curated record
GACACGCUGGGGAGCCCAGCAGCUGCAUACAAGUUCCGGUAAUCUCUGUUUCUGGCUGUGUGGUCUUGGGCAAGUCCACCCCCAAGAUGGCAUGGAGUGGCACUUUCCAGAACAUUCUGUGGGGAGAGGAACGCCUUCCAUUAGCACUGGCCAGAAUGGCGGCCACUCACCAUGUGCAGCUGUUGAGCAUGGUCAAAGGUCGGGUGCCGUUGAAGUAUGUUAGAACUUUGGAUUUCUGCCAGCUCCCAAUACAGUUGUGCUAAUUGGGCACUGCACAAGAGGACUACAACUAAAAUACUGCCAUUUAGAGUAAA